ACAUCCCUGCUCUGUGCGUGUUUUAAGAUGAUAAACUUUGAGCCAACAAUCAUUUCAUAGGGAGCUUGGAGUUUACCUCGGCUUUGGUCGUGGUAACAGGGCACCCACCUGGGAAACCGGGUUCAAGGUAUAUCGUCUACACGGCAGUAGCGGGGAUUUU
RNAcentral lists this non-coding RNA (160 nucleotides) under Candidatus Omnitrophota bacterium. Its description in RNAcentral is "6S RNA". It matches the Rfam family "6S / SsrS RNA". Rfam says of the family: E. coli 6S RNA was the first non coding RNA to be sequenced, but its function was unknown until recently. It consists of 184 nucleotides that fold into an extended hairpin structure with a large single-stranded internal bulge. The 6S RNA specifically associates with RNA polymerase holoenzyme containing the sigma70 specificity factor. Lineage: Bacteria; Pseudomonadati; Candidatus Omnitrophota. The record is from RNAcentral.